CAAACAGCUUGGGUGUGGUGGGUGAGGCUUUUGGGUGGAGUCGAAAUGCAGCUUAACCGCCAUCAGGAUUUGGCAAGAUAAGGCAAUUUUAUUUGUAUAGCACUUUUCAUACACAAGGCAGACUCAAAGUGCUUCACAUAAUAACAUUUAUUAGGGUAAAGGCGAAGCUGAACAUACGUUUUCAGUCUUGUUUUAAAUGUGGUCAGAGUUGGGGCAAGUCUUAAAUCUUCAGGAAGUUUAUUCCAGCUGUUUGUUGCGUAGUAACUAAAUGAUGCUUUCCCAUGAUUUGUAUUUACUCUGGGAAUCGCUAACAGAUUGGUGUCAGAAGAUCUUAGUGAUCUUGAAGGCUUAUGUAGUGGAAGCAUAUCAGUGAUUUACUUUGGCCCUAAACCAUGUAGUGAUUUAUGUGAGCAGUAGGAUUUUGAAAUGAAUUCUCUUGACAUACUGGGAGCCAAUUUAAGAAUUGGUGUAAUAUGCUCACAUUUUUUGGUCUUUGUUAGUGUUUCUGAGUCUUGAGCUGACAUGAGCCCUCUAAGUCGUGCUACAUUUUGAGAUGGUAGUAGGCCGAUUUUGUUACUGAUUUGAUGUGACUCUCCAAGUGUAAAUCUGAAUCCAGAAUAACCCCCAGAUUUCUGGCUUUAUUUGAUGUUUUCGGGGACAGAGUGAAGGUGUUGGGUUACUUUAAACCUUUCUUUUUUAGCACCAAAUACAAUGAGCUCAGUUUUGUCUUCAUUUUUAGGAAAUUUUGACAGAUCCAGUCUUUGAUUUGCUCAAUGCACUGGCACAGAAGAUCUAUGGGGCGAUAGUCGUUUGGUGAUAGCGCUACAUAGAUUUGGGUGUCAUCAGCGUAGCAAUGUGGUAAAUUUUUCAUAUUUUUGAAUGAUUUGUCCUAGUGGGAGCAUGUAGAUGUUGAAUAAAGUCGGCCCUAAGAUCGAACCCUGGACUCCACACGUUACGUUGGUUGUUUCUGAUACGAAGUCACCAAUGGAAACAAAAUAGUUCCUGACAACUGAAGGCUCUGGCCCCCAGCCUACUUUUUAAAACCAUAGGAACAACAAGUAACCAAGCAUCUAUGGAGCACAGCUGCCUUGUAGGGCAAUAAGGUGUUACAAGCUCUUUAAGAUACAACGGUGCCUCACCAGCAAGUGCCUUGUAGGUGAGAAGUACCUUCAAAUCUAUUCUUGAUUUAACAGGGAGCCAGUGCAGAGAAGUUAAUACAGGAGUGAUAUGAUCCUUUACUUAGUUCUUGUUAAUACACGUGCUGCAGCAUUCUGAAUCAACUGGAGAGGCUUAAGAGAUUUAAAAGAGCAGCCUGAUAAGAGAAUUACACUAGUCCAGUCUGGAAGUGACAAGCUCAUGAACUAAUUUUUCUGCAUCAUUUUGAGACCGGAAGUUCCUGAUUUUUGAUAUGUUACGUAGAUGAAAAUAGGCAGUCCUUGAAGUCUUCUUUAUAUGAGAGUUGAAGGUCAUAUCCUGGUCAAAACUCCCAGAUUCCUUACUGUGCUGCUGGGUACCAGAGCAUUUCCAUCCAUAAAAACUGUUUAACGUGACAGCUGGCUUCGAAGGCGCUCUGGGCCUAUCAGGAUAACUUUUUUUACCGUAAACGAUAACCGUUUUUUUUCUGAGUUUAGCAUCAGGAAGUUGCCGGUCAUCCAAGUUUUGAUGUCUCAAAGACAUUCUUGAAGUCUAACUAGCUGGUCCGUCUCUUCUGGCUUGAUCGACAGAUACAGUUGAGUAUAGUCUGCAUAACAAUGGAAGUUUAUGUGGUGUUUCCUGAUCCAGAUCGCCCAAAGGAAGCAUAUAGAGGGUAAAUAAAAUCUGUCCAAGUACAGAACCUUGUGGGACUCCGUGACCAACAUUGGUGGUCUUUGAGGAUUCACCGUUUACAAGCACAAACUGGGAUCGAUCCGAUAAGUAGGAUUUAAACCAGCUGAGUGCAGUUCCUUUUGAUACCAAUUGAACGUUCUAGUCUCUACAACAGGAUACAAUGGUCUAUGGUAUCAAAUGUGGCACUGAGGUCCAGCAAGAAAAGAGAUGAGUCCUUGGUCCGAUGCAAGUAGAAGAUCAUUCGUAAUUUUCACCACUGCUGUUUCUGUACUGUGAUGCACUGGAAAUCCGCAACAAAGCAUUGUUUUGUAGAAAGUCACAUAAUUGAUUUGCGACGGAUUUCUCAAGGAUCUUGGAGAGGAAGGGAAGAUUAGAGAUAGGUCUGUAGUUAGCCAACACCUCUGGAGCAAGAGUAGUUUUUUUUUUUUUUAAGAAGAGGUUUAAUUACAGCUACCUUGAAGGACUGUGGUACAUGUCCUGUCAACAAAGACAGAUUCAUAAUAUCUAAUAAGGAUGUGCUAACUAAAGGAAAAACUGCCUUAAACAGCUUGGUCGGAAUCGGAUCCAAGAGACAAGUAAAAGAUUUAGACUUUGAAAAUAAAGAAGUCAGUUGAUCAAGGUUGAUGGAAGAGAAGGCAUCUAAACAGGCAUCAGGGCCCACCUCUGCAAUCAAGGUUCCUACAUCGGAGGACAGGUCGGCACUGGUUGUAGGCAGGAGACCAUCAAUUUUCUCUUUGAUAGUCAGAAUCUUAUCAUUGAAGUUCAUGAAGUCGUUACUAGUGAGGUCCAAAGGAAUACACGGCUCGACAGAGCUGUGACUGUCAGUCGGGCUACAGUGCUGAAGAGAAGCCUGGAGUUGUUUUUUAUUUUUCUCUAUUAAUGAUGAGUAAUAAGAUGCUCUUGCGUUACGGAGAGCAGUCUUAUGUUUUAAGGCUGUCUUGCCAAACUAGCCUAGAUCCUUCUGAUUUGGUGGUACGCUAUAAUCGUUCAAGUUUCCGCACGGACUGAGGUUCUCACAGGAGUCUUCUUGUAUCUUGAGGCAGGGCACUGAAUUUGGAGCAGAAGGAAUGGCUUCUUUAAAUGAGGCUACAGCGGUAUCCGAUAAGCGUCGACUGUAGAAACCCUUGGCAGGAGGAGGUGGUUCUGAUAGUAGAAAUUCAAAGGUUAUCAG
Gasterosteus aculeatus aculeatus (three-spined stickleback) is the source of this 2998-nucleotide long non-coding RNA. The record is from Ensembl. NCBI's taxonomy places the organism in Eukaryota, Metazoa, Chordata, Actinopteri, Perciformes, Gasterosteidae.